UGAGGAAUCUUGCGCAAUGGGGGAAACCCUGACGCAGCAACGCCGCGUGAGUGAGGAAGGUCUUCGGGACGUAAAGCUCUGUCAGGCGGGAAGAAAUGCAUGGAGGUGAACAGCCGCCAUGCUUGACGGUACCGCCAGAGGAAGCACCGGCUAACUCCGUGCCAGCAGCCGCGGUAAUACGGGGGGUGCAAGCGUUGUUCGGAAUCAUUGGGCGUAAAGAGCGUGUAGGCGGCUUGGUAAGUCAGAUAUGAAAGCCCUGGGCUCAAACCGGGAAAUGCAAUUGAAAACGGCCGGCCUCAGUAAGGGAGAAGGAAGUGGAAUUCCUGGUGUAGAGGUGAAAUUCGUAGAUAUCAGGAGGAACACCGGUGGCGAAGGCGACUUCCUGGCCCUAUACUGACGCUGAGACGCGAGAGCGUGGGUAGCAAACAG
RNAcentral lists this ribosomal RNA (429 nucleotides) under uncultured bacterium. RNAcentral describes it as "bacterial SSU rRNA". It matches the Rfam family "Bacterial small subunit ribosomal RNA", at positions 355 to 775 of the family's 1533-position model. The record is from RNAcentral.